GUGAGGAAUAUUGGUCAAUGGGCGGGAGCCUGAACCAGCCAAGUCGCGUGAAGGAAGAAGGAUCUAUGGUUCGUAAACUUCUUUUGCAGGGGAAUAAAGUGCAGGACGUGUCCUGUUUUGUAUGUACCCUGAGAAUAAGGAUCGGCUAACUCCGUGCCAGCAGUCGCGGUAAUACGGAGGAUCCGAGCGUUAUCCGGAUUUAUUGGGUUUAAAGGGUGCGUAGGUGGUUUGAUAAGUCAGCGGUGAAAGUUUGCAGCUUAACUGUAAAAAUGCCGUUGAAACUGUCGGACUUGAGUGUAAAUGAGGUAGGCGGAAUGCGUGGUGUAGCGGUGAAAUGCAUAGAUAUCACGCAGAACUCCGAUUGCGAAGGCAGCUUACUAAGCUACAACUGACACUGAAGCACGAAAGCGUGGGGAUCAAACAGGAUUAGAUACCCCGGUAGUCC
RNAcentral lists this ribosomal RNA (445 nucleotides) under uncultured bacterium. RNAcentral's name for it is "partial 16S ribosomal RNA". It matches the Rfam family "Bacterial small subunit ribosomal RNA", at positions 354 to 796 of the family's 1533-position model. The record is from RNAcentral.